ACGUGGUUGGUUUAGUGGUAUAGUUACCGCCUGGCACGCGGUAGACCCGGGUUCCAUUCCCAGACCACGCA
RNAcentral lists this transfer RNA (71 nucleotides) under Linnemannia gamsii. RNAcentral describes it as "Mortierella gamsii tRNA". It matches the Rfam family "tRNA". Rfam says of the family: Transfer RNA (tRNA) molecules are approximately 80 nucleotides in length. Their secondary structure includes four short double-helical elements and three loops (D, anti-codon, and T loops). The record is from Rfam by way of RNAcentral. Lineage: Eukaryota; Fungi; Mortierellomycota; Mortierellomycetes; Mortierellales; Mortierellaceae.